CGUAGGCAGCGAGCGUUGUUCGGAGUUACUGGGCGUAAAGGGUGUGUAGGCGGCCUAUUAAGUUUGGUGUGAAAUCUCCCGGCUCAACCGGGAGGGUGCGCCGAAAACUGGGAGGCUAGAGUGCGGGAUGGGAGAGUGGAAUUCCUGGUGUAGCGGUGAAAUGCGUAGAUAUCAGGAGGAACACCGGUGGUGCAGACGGCUCUCUGGACCGUAACUGACGCUGAGACACGAAAGCGUGGGUAGCAAACAGGAUUAGAUACCCUGGUAGUCCACGCCCUAAACGAUGCAUAUUUGGUGUGGGUCAUUCAGUUGAUCCGUGCCGGAGCUAACGCGUUAAAUAUGCCGCCUGGGGAGUACAGUCGCAAGGCUG
Molecule: ribosomal RNA, 370 nt
Filed under: uncultured organism
Description: bacterial SSU rRNA
Rfam family: Bacterial small subunit ribosomal RNA
Source: RNAcentral